GGCUUGUGGCUCAGCAGUAGAGCACUCACCUAUCACAGGCGAGGCCCUGGGUUCAAUCCCCAACACCA
This 68-nucleotide transfer RNA is filed under the name Marmota monax (woodchuck). RNAcentral describes it as "tRNA.Asp". The record is from RNAcentral. Lineage: Eukaryota; Metazoa; Chordata; Mammalia; Rodentia; Sciuridae.